Molecule: ribosomal RNA, 676 nt
Filed under: fungal sp.
Lineage: Eukaryota; Fungi
Description: eukaryotic LSU rRNA
Rfam family: 5.8S ribosomal RNA (bases 171-324)
Source: RNAcentral
CAUUACACAAAUAUGAAGGCGGGCUGGAACCUCUCGGGGUUACAGCCUUGCUGAAUUAUUCACCCUUGUCUUUUGCGUACUUCUUGUUUCCUUGGUGGGUUCGCCCACCACUAGGACAAACAUAAACCUUUUGUAAUUGCAAUCAGCGUCAGUAACAAAUUAAUAAUUACAACUUUCAACAACGGAUCUCUUGGUUCUGGCAUCGAUGAAGAACGCAGCGAAAUGCGAUAAGUAGUGUGAAUUGCAGAAUUCAGUGAAUCAUCGAAUCUUUGAACGCACAUUGCGCCCUUUGGUAUUCCAAAGGGCAUGCCUGUUCGAGCGUCAUUUGUACCCUCAAGCUUUGCUUGGUGUUGGGCGUCUUGUCUCUAGCUUUGCUGGAGACUCGCCUUAAAGUAAUUGGCAGCCGGCCUACUGGUUUCGGAGCGCAGCACAAGUCGCACUCUCUAUCAGCAAAGGUCUAGCAUCCAUUAAGCCUUUUUUUCAACUUUUGACCUCGGAUCAGGUAGGGAUACCCGCUGAACUUAAGCAUAUCAAUAAGCGGAGGAAAAGAAACCAACAGGGAUUGCCCUAGUAACGGCGAGUGAAGCGGCAACAGCUCAAUUUGAAAUCUGGCUCUUUUAGAGUCCGAGUUGUAAUUUGCAGAGGGCGCUUUGGCUUUGGCAGCGGUCCAAGUUCC